Molecule: ribosomal RNA, 255 nt
Filed under: uncultured bacterium
Lineage: Bacteria
Description: partial 16S ribosomal RNA
Rfam family: Bacterial small subunit ribosomal RNA
Source: RNAcentral
UACGUAGGGGGCAAGCGUUGUCCGGAUUUAUUGGGCGUAAAGAGCGUGUAGGCGGCCUGAAAGGUCAGCUGUGAAAACUCGAGGCUCAACCUCGAGACGUCGGUUGAAACCAUCUGGCUAGAGUCCGGAAGAGGAGUGUGGAAUUCCCGGUGUAGCGGUGAAAUGCGCAGAUAUCAGGAGGAACACCGGUGGCGAAGGCGGGUCUCUGGGCAGUAACUGACGCUGGAGGAGCGGAAAGCGUGGGGAGCGAACAGG